AACGCGAAGAACCUUACCAAGGUUUGACAUGCAGGGAAAAGCCGUAGAGAUAUGGUGUCCGCAAGGGACCUGUGUAGAGGUGCUGCAUGGCUGUCGUCAGCUCGUGCCGUGAGGUGUUGGGUUAAGUCCCGCAACGAGCGCAACCCUUACUCAUAGUUGCUACCCGCAAGGGAGAACUCUAUGAGGACUGCUCCGGAUAACGGAGAGGAAGGUGGGGAUGAGGUCAAGUCAGCAUGGCCUUUAUGUCCAGGGCUACACACGUGUUACAAUGCGCGCCACAAAGCGUCGCGAACCCGCGAGGGGGAGCUAAUCGCAAAAAAGCGCGCUCAGUUCGGAUUGCAGUCUGCAACUCGACUGCAUGAAGCCGGAAUCGCUAGUAAUGGCGCAUCAGAACGGCGCCGUGAAUACGUUCCCGGGCCUUGUACACACCGACUGUAC
This 438-nucleotide ribosomal RNA is filed under the name uncultured bacterium. Its description in RNAcentral is "bacterial SSU rRNA". It matches the Rfam family "Bacterial small subunit ribosomal RNA", at positions 958 to 1399 of the family's 1533-position model. The record is from RNAcentral.